UACGAAGGGUGCAAGCGUUACUCGGAAUUACUGGGCGUAAAGCGUUCGUAGGCGGUUCGUUAAGUCUGUCGUGAAAGCCCUAGGCUCAACCUGGGAAUUGCGAUGGAUACUGGCGAGCUAGAGUACGGUAGAGGAUGGUGGAAUUCCCGGUGUAGCGGUGAAAUGCGUAGAGAUCGGGAGGAACACCGGUGGCGAAGGCGGGUCUCUGGGCAAGUCCUGACGCUGAGGCGCGAAAGCGUGGGGAGCAAACGGG
Molecule: ribosomal RNA, 253 nt
Filed under: uncultured bacterium
Lineage: Bacteria
Description: partial 16S ribosomal RNA
Rfam family: Bacterial small subunit ribosomal RNA
Source: RNAcentral